AGAGUUUGAUCCUGGCUCAGGACGAACGCUGGCGGCGUGCCUAAUGCAUGCAAGUCGAGCGACGCAUACCGGAGGGGUAACCCACUGGUAUGACGGAGCGGCGAACGGGUGAGUAACACGUGAGCAACCUGCCCCACAGACCGGGAUAGCCCAGGGAAACCUGGAUUAAUACCGGAUACCCUCGAACAACCACAUGGUUGGUCGAGGAAAUGCCUUUGUGCUGUGGGAUGGGCUCGCGGCUUAUCAGCUAGUUGGUGGGGUAACGGCCUACCAAGGCAUCGACGAGUAGCUGGUCUGAGAGGACGAUCAGCCACACUGGGACUGAGACACGGCCCAGACUCCUACGGGAGGCAGCAGCAGGGAAUCUUGCGCAAUGGGCGAAAGCCUGACGCAGCAACGCCGCGUGGGGGAUGAAGGCCUUCGGGUUGUAAACCCCUUUCAGGAGGGAAGAAAUUGACGGUACCUCCAAAAGAAGCCCCGGCCAACUACGUGCCAGCAGCCGCGGUAAUACGUAGGGGGCGAGCGUUGUCCGGAAUCAUUGGGCGUAAAGAGCUCGUAGGCGGUUCAGUAAGUCGGCUGUGAAAGUCCGAGGCUCAACCUCGGAACUGCAGUCGAAACUAUUGUGACUCGAGUCCGGUAGAGGAGAAUGGAAUUCCCGGUGUAGCGGUGAAAUGCGCAGAUAUCGGGAGGAACACCAGUA
This 700-nucleotide ribosomal RNA is filed under the name uncultured bacterium. RNAcentral describes it as "bacterial SSU rRNA". It matches the Rfam family "Bacterial small subunit ribosomal RNA", at positions 8 to 714 of the family's 1533-position model. The record is from RNAcentral.